GAUGAACGCUGGCGGCGUGCCUAAUACAUGCAAGUCGAGCGAACGGACGAGAAGCUUGCUUCUCUGAUGUUAGCGGCGGACGGGUGAGUAACACGUGGAUAACCUACCUAUAAGACUGGGAUAACUUCGGGAAACCGGAGCUAAUACCGGAUAAUAUUUUGAACCGCAUGUUUAAAAAGUGAAAGACGGUCUUGCUGUCACUUAUAGAUGGAUCCGCGCUGCAUUAGCUAGUUGGUAAGGUAACGGCUUACCAAGGCAACGAUGCAUAGCCGACCUGAGAGGGUGAUCGGCCACACUGGAACUGAGACACGGUCCAGACUCCUACGGGAGGCAGCAGUAGGGAAUCUUCCGCAAUGGGCGAAAGCCUGACGGAGCAACGCCGCGUGAGUGAUGAAGGUCUUCGGAUCGUAAAACUCUGUUAUUAGGGAAGAACAUAUGUGUAAGUAACUGUGCACAUCUUGACGGUACCUAAUCAGAAAGCCACGGCUAACUACGUG
This 497-nucleotide ribosomal RNA is filed under the name uncultured bacterium. RNAcentral describes it as "partial 16S ribosomal RNA". It matches the Rfam family "Bacterial small subunit ribosomal RNA", at positions 28 to 507 of the family's 1533-position model. The record is from RNAcentral.